Non-coding RNA from Pelobates cultripes (western spadefoot toad), 84 nucleotides. Lineage: Eukaryota; Metazoa; Chordata; Amphibia; Anura; Pelobatidae. The record is from the annotation of a GenBank genome assembly.
CAGGAAAACAAACUCGUUAUUAGGUCCACCCCUCCUGCUGGGCCCUGAGGGAGGGGGAGACCUAAUAACGAGUUUGUUUUCCUG